AGUUCUGUAAAUCCCUGCUGGGAGCAGAGACUGCGAAAAGCUGAGUCCGCCGAUCGUGCCCGGGACAAGGCUGCCUUCCACUCGCCCUCGCCGCAUCUACCUGGUAGGCGGCAUGCGCACGGGCUUAGAGGCUUGAGAGCCUCUGGAAGAGAAAGGGUCCCAGGAAGGAAACCUGCCCCCGGCCUAAGUGUCGGCGCCCAGAUCACCACGAACCCCGCACCUAGGCGCCGCCCACCAAGUUCCAAAGAAGUCCGAGGCGACCUGGGAGUCGGUCGGAUCCCAGCCGAGAAAAGAAACAAGCAGGAUAGCAAUUCUUAGGGGAGCCACCCUGGGAGUUUUAGGCAGCGUUUGCCUUUCCCUGGUUUUCUUCACCAAGCCCCAUCCUCCCCCCGCAUACCACCCCCAGUCAAAAGAGUGGGAGAAAAUGCACAGUUCGAAGUCGGUGAGAGCAAAAAUGGGUCUAGUAAAUCAACCCGUGGUGGUAGCUAAAAGGUUUGGGGCUGCAAAGAAACAAACUGUAAGUUUUGAGCAACAAACUUUUUCUUCAAUCUGUAAUAUGUCGAAAUGGGAAGGGGGUGUUGCAAAAGCCAACUACCACUGUCAAACUUAGCCCGUUUACAACAUGGGGAAAGGCGUAUUUCUUACUAAUAUCUCAACAACGAUAACAAUGCUGUAUCCUUCCUUACCUUGAUGUUGAACUGCGAAUCCUCCUCCGGAUCAAUGUCCAGGAACUUAGAAGAAUUGGUGAUAUUAGGAGUUCAGUACUUCUGGAAAAAAAUGCAAAUGGUUUAGCCAGGAUCUUUCCUGUCUGAUUCGUCACUAUUAUUAUAUCUGAUGAUGCGAAUGGUUGGAGCGAUUCAAUCCUAAGUCAUUAAUGAGCUAUUUUAUAAACACCACUGUCUGAAGAUCUUCAUUUACAUUUUGCUAAGGAUCACUUCGCUAACCUCACAGGCUUGUGUCAACAGCAUGAUUUGCAGGACUUCAGUUACACUCUUAUAAACAACACGGCUGUAUUGUUAAUCGGUUAAUAUUUUAUAAAGUGUAAAUAUUUUAUUAUGUUUUGAAGGGAACUAUUGAUUCUAAAUUAUUAAACCCCUGAGAAGGACUAUUUAAAUGAAAUAUACAAUUAAGUACAAUUAAAUGUACAUUGUGGUUAGUUUGUUUUCAGAUUCUGCACCCUUUUAAAUUCAUUGCUUUUCUCUUUACUGGAGUUUCCUCUUGUCCAUUUCUGAUACUGAAAAAAAUCUAUCAUGUUAGGAAAAAGCCUAAAUUAUUUAAAGUUGCAUUAAACUUAGAGGAAAAUGUCAAAUACGAUUAAUUAUGACCAGAAAUGUAUUUUGGAUGUUUGUAGAGUUGUAUUUCAUAUCACAUUUUACAAAUUUCUUCCGAUUUAAAGGAGAGUUCUAGGAAGUUUUGUGAUCUAUGUCCGGUGUGGGUUUUUGUCCUCUCGAGUUUUGUCUCUAAUAAAGGCCUUUUUUGUUUCAAAU
RNAcentral lists this long non-coding RNA (1487 nucleotides) under Homo sapiens (human). RNAcentral describes it as "HSALNT0308202". Lineage: Eukaryota; Metazoa; Chordata; Mammalia; Primates; Hominidae. The record is from RNAcentral.